RNAcentral lists this small RNA (479 nucleotides) under Staphylococcus aureus KLT6. Its description in RNAcentral is "SprC2". Lineage: Bacteria; Bacillati; Bacillota; Bacilli; Caryophanales; Staphylococcaceae. The record is from RNAcentral.
UAUUAUCCCUCCUUUAUUCAAGGUCUUUUAUAUUAUUAUACUCUAAAAACGACAUAUACACAUUAUACAAGUUAUAGAUGUCGGGGAAAUCUUUCAAGUUAAUUUCAUAAGCAAACCUAUCCUUUUUAUCAUACUUAUCAUUAUAUAUGUGAAUAUGACUUUUCGGAGCGAUUGUUCCAUCUGGAUUAUCGUGAGUACCACCGUUAAUAUCUAUUCUAACUAGGGUGUGAUAGGUAUCUUUGAAAAUGAUUGAAAUUGAAAACCUAUCUUUUUCUAUGUUCCCUCUUUUUAUCGUUAAUAAGUACUUUAUUCCUAACUUAAAACUUAUUAUUUCUUGCCUUUCAUUUAUUCGACUAGCAACUAUUGUUUUUAAUUCAUUUACAUCGAUAUGAGUUUCUGGAUAUUUUAAUUCAUUUAUUAAUAAUUUUACGUGCUCGUCGUUAAGACUAUUUAAAUCAAGUUUAGCCAUGUCUGUUCCU